This 985-nucleotide ribosomal RNA is filed under the name Lacticaseibacillus casei. RNAcentral's name for it is "bacterial SSU rRNA". It matches the Rfam family "Bacterial small subunit ribosomal RNA", at positions 510 to 1492 of the family's 1533-position model. Lineage: Bacteria; Bacillati; Bacillota; Bacilli; Lactobacillales; Lactobacillaceae. The record is from RNAcentral.
AGCAGCAGCUGUAAUACGUAGGUGCAUGCGUAUCCUGGAUUUAUGGGCGUCAAGCGAGCGCAGGCGGUUUUUUAAGUCUGAUGUGCAAGCCCUCGACUCACCGAGGAAGCGCAUCGGGAAACUGGGAAACUUGAGUGCAGAAGACGACAGUGGAACUCCAUGUGUAGCGAUGAAAUGCGUAGAUAUAUGGAAGAACACCAGUGGCGAAGGCGGCUGUCUGGUCUGUAACUGACGCUGAGGCUCGAAAGCAUGGGUAGCGAACAGGAUUAGAUACCCUGGUAGUCCAUGCCGUAAACGAUGAAUGCUAGGUGUUGGAGGGUUUCCGCCCUUCAGUGCCGCAGCUAACGCAUUAAGCAUUCCGCUUGGGGAGUACGACCGCAAGGUUGAAACUCAAAGGAAUUGACGGGGGCCCGCACAAGCGGUGGAGCAUGUGGUUUAAUUCGAAGCAACGCGAAGAACCUUACCAGGUCUUGACAUCUUUUGAUCACCUGAGAGAUCAGGUUUCCCCUUCGGGGGCAAAAUGACAGGUGGUGCAUGGUUGUCGUCAGCUCGUGUCGUGAGAUGUUGGGUUAAGUCCCGCAACGAGCGCAACCCUUAUGACUAGUUGCCAGCAUUUAGUUGGGCACUCUAGUAAGACUGCCGGUGACAAACCGGAGGAAGGUGGGGAUGACGUCAAAUCAUCAUGCCCCUUAUGACCUGGGCUACACACGUGCUACAAUGGAUGGUACAACGAGUUGCGAGACCGCGAGGUCAAGCUAAUCUCUUAAAGCCAUUCUCAGUUCGGACUGUAGGCUGCAACUCGCCUACACGAAGUCGGAAUCGCUAGUAAUCGCGGAUCAGCACGCCGCGGUGAAUACGUUCCCGGGCCUUGUACACACCGCCCGUCACACCAUGAGAGUUUGUAACACCCGAAGCCGGUGGCGUAACCCUUUUAGGGAGCGGAGCCGUCUAAAGGUGGGACAAAUGAUUAGGGUGAAGUCGUAAC